GACGAACUGUGCGAACGUUAUUCGGAAUCACUGGGCUUAAAGGGUGCGUAGGCGGCCGUCUAAGCAGGGUGUGAAAUCCCCCGGCUCAACCGGGGAAUGGCGCUCUGGACUGGACGGCUCGAGCGAGGCAGGGGCGCGUGGAACUUCCCGUGGAGCGGUGAAAUGUGUUGAGAUGGGAAGGAACGCCGGUGGCGAAAGCGGCGCGCUGGGCCUUGUCUGACGCUGAGGCACGAAAGCCAGGGGAGCGAACGGG
This 253-nucleotide unclassified non-coding RNA is filed under the name uncultured Planctomycetales bacterium. RNAcentral's name for it is "contains 16S-23S intergenic spacer region". It matches the Rfam family "Bacterial small subunit ribosomal RNA", at positions 524 to 776 of the family's 1533-position model. Lineage: Bacteria; Pseudomonadati; Planctomycetota; Planctomycetia; Planctomycetales. The record is from RNAcentral.